RNAcentral lists this ribosomal RNA (429 nucleotides) under uncultured bacterium. Its description in RNAcentral is "bacterial SSU rRNA". It matches the Rfam family "Bacterial small subunit ribosomal RNA", at positions 355 to 776 of the family's 1533-position model. The record is from RNAcentral.
UAGGGAAUCUUCGGCAAUGGACGAAAGUCUGACCGAGCAACGCCGCGUGAGUGAAGAAGGUUUUCGGAUCGUAAAACUCUGUUGGUAGAGAAGAACGUUGGUGAGAGUGGAAAGCUCAUCAAGUGACGGUAACUACCCAGAAAGGGACGGCUAACUACGUGCCAGCAGCCGCGGUAAUACGUAGGUCCCGAGCGUUGUCCGGAUUUAUUGGGCGUAAAGCGAGCGCAGGUGGUUUAUUAAGUCUGGUGUAAAAGGCAGUGGCUUAACCAUUGUAUGCAUUGGAAACUGGUAGACUUGAGUGCAGGAGAGGAGAGUGGAAUUCCAUGUGUAGCGGUGAAAUGCGUAGAUAUAUGGAGGAACACCGGUGGCGAAAGCGGCUCUCUGGCCUGUAACUGACACUGAGGCUCGAAAGCGUGGGGAGCAAACAGG